Tulasnella sp. JGI-2019a is the source of this 101-nucleotide non-coding RNA. The record is from the annotation of a GenBank genome assembly. NCBI's taxonomy places the organism in Eukaryota, Fungi, Basidiomycota, Agaricomycetes, Cantharellales, Tulasnellaceae.
GGGUGUGUGGCGCAGUGGUAGCGCGCCUCAUUCGCAUUCAGCCGUCUUUCUGCUGAGCAAUUGCCUUGAGGAGGUCUAGGGUUCGAGUCCCUACUCAUCCA